This 90-nucleotide ribosomal RNA is filed under the name Cronobacter dublinensis. The record is from RNAcentral. Lineage: Bacteria; Pseudomonadati; Pseudomonadota; Gammaproteobacteria; Enterobacterales; Enterobacteriaceae.
ACCUGACCCCAUGCCGAACUCAGAAGUGAAACGCCGUAGCGCCGAUGGUAGUGUGGGGCCUCCCCAUGCGAGAGUAGGGUACUGCCAGGC